Non-coding RNA from Oryzias latipes (Japanese medaka), 221 nucleotides. NCBI's taxonomy places the organism in Eukaryota, Metazoa, Chordata, Actinopteri, Beloniformes, Adrianichthyidae. The record is from RefSeq and is a predicted model, not a curated record.
UAUGAACCAAGGCGAGGAGAGACGGCUGGCUGGAGGUUUCUUGAAGCGGCGUGACUGCAGCGUUGGAGAACUGCGACCAGGAGGAACAACGAACUGGCACCGGCUGAUGAUCCUGGAGGAGUUUAUGAAGGCAGGUGUAGAUGAGGUAAGUGGAUCCAGCUGGUCGCGUCAAACACAGGAAGGAGGGGGGAGGAGGGAGUAACUGACAGGCCAUGACAAUA